Raphanus sativus (radish) is the source of this 3557-nucleotide RNA transcript. RefSeq lists it as uncharacterized. The transcript has 14 exons. Lineage: Eukaryota; Viridiplantae; Streptophyta; Magnoliopsida; Brassicales; Brassicaceae. The record is from RefSeq and is a predicted model, not a curated record.
AAAAAAAAGAAGUCAAAACAAAUGAAGAUAAUAGUCAUCUAAUCGUACGGCUGUGAACAGAGUAACACACAUCACCAAAAUAAAACUGCAACAUAGAAUCACGCACCAAAGCAUACUUUUAAAAUCGACUUUGGAGCCGCGUCUUCUUUACUCUUUCUGCAAGGUUGUCGUGUGAGAACAGUGGACAUACUCACACUUCAACUCUUAAGCUUCGGUCUCUUCUUGUUCUUCUCUCUUCAUCUUUCUUUGGAUUCUGUAUCUAUUUCUGAUACCAGCCAGAGCCAAAAAGAAUCUUGUAGGUUUUAGCUAUGAAUGAUCCACGGGUGAGAUCGUUCCAGAUAAGUCCUGGUGACUUAGAGGCUGCUCAGCUUGAUGAUCUCAUAAGGGAGAUAGAACAGAAGAGUCUCUUUUACCACCAAGAGAAGAAAAAGUCUUUGAGAGCUCGUUAUGCCUAUGGAACCAUCUUCUUGAUCAUAAACCUAUGCGCUUGGUUCAUCCGUGACUAUGCACAAAAGACUCUGACCUUGCUUCCACAUGUCAGUAGUUGUGGACCAGAAGGAAGUCAUUGUUUCCAUACUCUUGGGGUACUCCGAGUGAGUCUUGGAUGUUUCAUGUUUUUCCUCAUUUUGUUCCUCUCAACAUGGAACACAAUGAAACUCCACCAAGCUCAAAACAGCUGGCACUCAGAUUAUUGGUCCUUCAAGUUUCUCCUGCUGGUUUCAGCCAUGGUUGCUUCUUUCUUCAUACCUCAGCUUUACAUCCAAAUAUACGGAGAAAUCGCGCGUGUUGGUGCAGGGAUAUUUCUUGGUCUUCAACUUAUAAGUGUAAUCGAAUUCAUCACUUGGUGGAAUAACUACUGGAUGCCUAAUAACCAAAGCAACCAAAGCUGUUUUUUGGGUUUGGUCAUGUCAAUAGUUUUCUACAUCGGCUCUGUUUGUGGGAUCGCAGUGAUGUACUACUUCUAUGCAGCUUCUACUGCUUGUGCCCUCAAUAUAUUCUUCAUCUCGUUUACUGUUGUGCUUCUAACUGUUAUGAUGGUUGUAUCCUUGCAUUCAAAGGUGAAGAGCAGCCUUAUGUCAUCUGGUAUUAUGGCUUCAUACAUUGUGUUUUUAUGUUGGUCUGCCAUCAGAAGCGAACCUUCACAUACCAAAUGCAAUGCGCAUACACAAAAUGGUCAUACCGAUUGGAUUACAGUACUGAGUUUCCUUAUAGCUAUAGGCGCAAUUGUGAUGGCAACAUUCUCAACCGGGAUCGAUUCAGAAUCCUUCAGCUUCCAGUUCCGUAAAGACGAAGCUAAAGAAGAAGAUGAUAUUCCAUAUAGCUAUGGAUUCUUCCAUCUUGUGUUUUCCUUAGGAGCAAUGUACUUUGCUAUGUUGUUCAUCAGCUGGAACCUCGAGCAUUCAGCUAGGAAUUUAGAAGUGCAACACACAGAUGGAGCAUUGAUGUUGGGUGGACAAGCACAUGGGUGAAGAUAGUGAAUGAGUGGUUUGCUGCAGGGAUAUACCUGUGGAAGUUGAUUGCACCUAUUGUGAGACAGCCUAGGGUUCAUGAGCAACCUCAGCCAGCAACAACAGAAGUCAGCAGAUAGAUGAUAGAUGGAUGCAUGUGGGUUUUGUGUAUCGAAACUUACACCAUCAUGGUCUAAUAACAUAUCGGAUUCAAAGUUUCAAGGUUAUCAAAUUAACAGGUACUCCCUCCGUUUCGAAUUAUAUGUCGUUUUGGAGCAAAAUUUUCGUUUCAAAAUAAGUGUCGUUUUAUGAUUUCAAUGCAAAAUUUAUUGAUUUUUUAAUCUAUUCUAUUUUUCUAUUGGUUUAAAUCUGGUUAGUUGUAUUGGUAAUGAUAUUUUUAUCUAGUAAAUAUACAAAAUUAAAUGUUUUAUUAAUCUGUGUGCCGAAGUCUAGAACGACAAAUAAAUUGAAACGGAGGGAGUAAUAUAUAUACCUAAAACCUGAUAUAAUGUAUUUUGUCAGUAUUCAUAAUUAUGAAACCCUAACGUAUAUGAUCAUAAAUCAUUAAGCCCUAAUUCACAAAUCCUAAACCCCAAAUAUUAAUGUUUUUAUUUUAUUUUUACCCCUCAUAUAUUGAAAAAACCACAAAAAUACAAUUAUAGAUAAUUAUUAACUUAAAGCCGGCGUGUUUAAAAAAAAAAAAUAUAUAUAUAUAUAUAUAUAUAUCAAAUUUAUUAUUAUGCCAAAUUCGUUUAUAAUUAUUAAAACUACUGUUCCAGUUAUAGUUGCAAAUCUUUUUCAAAUUAAUAACAAACAACAAAAACUAGAAAAUUAAAAGUCGUUAACAUUACAAAUCAAAUACACUAGGCCAAUCAUUAUAUUUACCAAUCUUCCACAAAUACAUUUUUUUCAAAUAGAAACAAAAUAAAUCGGAAGUUUCUAACAAACUGUCGGAUAUGCUGAUUUAGAAAAUCUUAUUUUCCAUAACUUAAACUAACUUGAUACUCAAGAUUUUUAAUAUUGAAAAAAAUAUUCUCAAACUGUAUUGAAUGGAAAUACUGUAUGCUAAAAUAUCGGCCUUGACCAAUCUUAUAUAUACUGCAUUCUAAACCUCAAAGCAAUCAUAUUUUUUUCAAUGAAUAAUAGCUAUAAAUGUCUUCCAGUCAAAAGAUAUCGUACCUUGACGAGGUUAGUCCAUGGAAAUGGAUAUGGUUUAGUCCAUGGAAAUGGAUAUGGUUGAUCCAAGUCAAUGCUACAUACCUGCAAACCAUCCAACGCCGGGUUUGGUGAGAGUUUGGAAAUCAUAUUUGCAGAUAAAAAGGUAAAUAUUAUUCAUCAUCUUGAAAGAGUACGUUUUGUUAUUGUAGCGAAAGUAUGUCCAGUCAAAUCUUAUAUGGUUUUGUUAAUCAAUCAAUUUAAAAAAUAAAAGCUUCAAUAUCGAUCUGUUUAUUUAUUUAUUUUGUGUAUGUUUUGUUUUCAUGAAAUCGCGUAAGUUAACAUCUAUGUUAUUCUUAUAUUUUCUGUGGUUUUGUUUUUGUUCUUCGUGAACGUUAAUUAUAUUGCAUUAGCUAUAUAUGGAUCAAGAAGAAAUACAAAGAUGUUAAGUUCAAUUUACCUUUACUGAUCUGUUGAAGUGCUUUUAUGGUGGAUCUCUAUCUUUAUGCAGUAAGCCAUCAAAUUGGAUGAUUUAACGAGGAUCUACCUCUGAAAGUUUCAGAUCGGCUUCGAUUUCUUUUUAUCCAUAACAUCAAAGCCAUCUGACAUGACAUUCAAAACAAAUCAAUAAAUUGUUUCAGAAAUAUGUGUAGCUUCAACUAUCUAUGAAGGAUGAAGAAUGAAGAUCAAAAGAUUUACCAGCGAAGAGAUUCGCUGAAGAGAAUCAAGAUUAACAAAAGAUUCCUUUCCCAAUCGCCAUUUGUAUCAAUACUAUUAAAGUUGAAAUAUGACCAACUGAUAUUAGUUGUAUCCACUUUUUAAAUUUUAUACAGCAAGCAAUUCAUACAUUAGAUGUUUUGAUUUCUCCAUGCCAAAUACCAUUUUGUAUAUAUAUUAUCAAUAACAAUUAAUAGCAUUUAUAUUCAUGAUAGAUAAAAUAUCAAAAGUAAUUUA